ACAGAGGGAUCCGCCCCUUUCCUGGCUGCCUACACAGAAAGCAGCCAUGGGAGACUUGCCGAGGACUUUGUCCACCAAGUGAUGAAAGCAUGCAAAUGCCUCCGAAUCAAAGAUGAGGAAAACAAAAGCUCAGAAACUAUCUUGGAGUCAGCAAGUAAGAAGGAGCUUAGAAAGGCUUAACAUUUUCCAUGCUUCUGCCUGGCUUCAGAGCCCAUGCACUCUGCCUUACCACGGCAGGUGAAAGAUGGCCCCAAAUUCUUAGGUACAUCUCCUGCCAAAAGACCCCUCCUAUGGGUUCUGUGACUACUUCAAUGAAAAGAAUAGGGCAGAAGAGAUGAUGAGAACUUAACAUCUGGCAGUGUCCAUUUCCUGUCUUUUGAAACUUUCUGUUAAAGGCCUGAGCCACGUAUGAAGUGUGAAUCUUCACACCAUGCAAGAGAAGCCACAUGUUAUUGCUCUGGUCAACAAUCCCAGCUGACCCAACCAGAUAGUGUAUCAGGCAUAUGAGUAAAGCAUUCUUAGAUUCUUCAGUCCAGCCCUUCACCAGCAGAACACCAUUCAGCAACCCUUGUCGGCAUCAUGUGGGACAGAAGAACCACCCAGCUGAGCCUUAUCCAAAUUCCUGACCACAAAAUCAUAAGAGAGAAUGACUUCUUUCAUAUCGCUGAAUGGAGCAACAUGUUUGGCCAAGUUCCUGUCCCAGGGAGGAGAACCUUCAGCUUGCAACAAGUCCUGGCCGUUGGAGAAACCAUGAGACUAGACCUUGUGUAAAGCAGCUGAUUCUGCCAUGGGGGAAAUGCCCUUUUGUUUACUGAGCUUCUCCCACCCAUGCCUUGCUCCACUUUCCUCUAGAAGCCUGAGAUAUUGGGAAUAAGAGUCUCAGCCUCCAAGAGAUGGAGAACAUAUCAAGAGAGUCUGGAUUUCUGGGGUGAUUAAGUUCACUUGAUUCAUUAGCCUAAGUGCUCAAGUAAAUUUCAAAUCACAGUGUUAUGUGUGAUUGUCCACGUCCUUCCUCCAAACACUCCCCACCUCCCACCCAAGGGCCCAUGUAACUUGCUAUUGAGAACCUUUGAUUUCUUAGGUAUUUGGGUGAUAGGGUUUUGUUGCCUCUCCUGAAGAAAAUAGUGGCAAUUUGUACUCAGCUGUGGAAUAAAGGAAAUCAUGACAUAAAAAAAAAAAAAAAAAAAAAAAAA
RNAcentral lists this long non-coding RNA (1193 nucleotides) under Homo sapiens (human). RNAcentral's name for it is "long independently transcribed non-coding RNA 2325 (LINC02325)". Lineage: Eukaryota; Metazoa; Chordata; Mammalia; Primates; Hominidae. The record is from RNAcentral.